Molecule: Y RNA, 90 nt
Filed under: Colobus angolensis palliatus
Lineage: Eukaryota; Metazoa; Chordata; Mammalia; Primates; Cercopithecidae
Description: Y RNA (ENSCANG00000014445.1)
Rfam family: Y RNA
About the family: Y RNAs are components of the Ro ribonucleoprotein particle (Ro RNP), in association with Ro60 and La proteins. The Y RNAs and Ro60 and La proteins are well conserved, but the function of the Ro RNP is not known. In humans the RNA component can be one of four small RNAs -- hY1, hY3, hY4 and hY5.
Source: Rfam by way of RNAcentral
GGCUGUAAACAGUGGUGUUCACAAUGAAUUGUCAGUUACAGAUUUCUUUGUUCCUUCUCCACUCCCACUUCUUUACUUGAGUAGCCUUAA